CUGUGAUGCCACCUAAGAAAAUAGGGGAAGGAGAGUUCAACACGUGUCAUGGUAAACGAAUUUUGUUUCCGGUAGUUUUCCACUGGGCUUUAUCAUUCGUGUAUGUGUUAUUUUUUGUGGGCCUGUACAGAAAUUUAAUUUGUCUAUUGUUGAAGACAAUCUUUGACAUCGAAACUUCUAUAGCCCUAAAGUUUUUCUUCUGUUCAUCUUGCCGGCGGAAAAAUCUUGAAACGUUACAGAGUUUGAAUCAUUCAAGUUGAAUGAAUUGAAGCGUCGUCUUUAAUGGAGUAAUAAUUGUUCUCUACACCUCACACCUCACCCAAUCUGUCAUCGAAUGCAUCCUCUUUUACUUUCUUUUUCAGAACCUUCACCUAUAAAAACGUGUCAAGAAGCCCAUCAAGUGAGCAGGACGUAGCAAAGCGUCUGUAAAGGAACCAAACUAAACAAAAAGGUCAAACAAGUGUCUUCUUCGUUUUCAUAUAAUCAUUGCCUACUGGCUACUGCUUCUUCAAUUUAAUUUGUUCAGUAGUUUACAAGGAUUAAACUUUUUGGCUGUCCAAAACUUUUUCAUCUGUGAAAUUUACUGAAGGUUAGAAGAGUAGAUUUUUUGUCAGUUAUUGUUUUCAUCAUUAUAGUUUCUACCUUUGUGCUAAUGCUGGACUUUUUUAUGAUUCAAAGGUAAUAUUUCUGUAGGACUUUCAAGAUGGAGCAUCCUAAGGAACAAAUAUAUUGCUGCUUUGCUGUGAGUGGCUCCUUCUCACCUUGAAGGUUCUUUUGUAACUUAGCCUCUUGAUCUUGAUUGGCACUUUGGCGUUGAAUUUGAAUGCAAAAACAGAAGAAGGCAUCUUAUGUUGCUAAUGCUGAAAAGUGCAAGGUUGACUACCACAAAUACCUGGAGGAAGGCCGAAAGGAAGAUGAGGCCAUUCAAUUAUAUUCUCAGAGGUUAAUGAUGAAGACGAUGCUUAGGAUGGUAGUUAAGAGAAAAUCUGGCAUGGCAGCUCCCGAGUAGUCCUCACAAAGUCCACGACUGCUCUUCUUCCAAAGGCUAAUGAAGUGUCGCGGUUGAAACUUCUUCGAACCAUGACGAGUCAGAGAAUUUGAUCAUAAGCAAAAAUGUAACAUCUGUUUGUUGGAGGAGGAUAUGGCGAAGCGUCACUUGACAAACUGCUUAACGAAGUGGUUGGAGAAGAGGUAUCAGACAUAUAGUUUCACUUGACAAACUGCUUCAAAAAGGGGGAAACGGAUCGAUCAAAACUUAGUUGACCAAAGGUGUGAAAAAAGACUCGGAGGAUGUCAACAAGAUCUUUGAGUUGAUGUGUCAGGUUUUUUUUGCUUCCCAAUAGAUGCAAAAAACCAGAAAGGUUACAUUCUGAGGACAGUGAAGUGGAGAAUAACGACAUAUGUAUCGAAAUCCUUGCCAGGUAUACAUGUUAAAUGAAAUCUCAAAAGAAUCAAGGAUUUCAGACUAUUAGAGACAAGUUCUUGGGGCUUAGUACUGACAGCAAGAUCUGCUUCCUGAGCUUUGUUGUGCUCCCGGAGAAUCAAGAAGUCAACAAGAUGAUGCUCUUUAUUGGUGUAUUGUGGAAGCCAUCCUUCCUGGUAAAGUCAAACCCCAAGAUGCUGUGAAAGACAUUCUCAAAGAGUUCAUGGAAAAUAUUUGAUUGAGCCUGUUGAAAAUUAAUGCAAAGUUUGAGCCAAAUAGCUUUAUGACACUUUUGUGCAUUCCUCAAUGGUUCUUAUCACAGAGUAGAUAACUAUUUAGUGUGUAUCAGAAAGAAAAGAAGCAAAGGAUGUAACAUUUAGACUUCAAAAAUAUAGAAUACAUAGUACCUACAAAA
Long non-coding RNA from Brassica napus (rape), 1838 nucleotides. RefSeq lists it as uncharacterized. The record is from RefSeq and is a predicted model, not a curated record. Lineage: Eukaryota; Viridiplantae; Streptophyta; Magnoliopsida; Brassicales; Brassicaceae. The transcript is spliced from 5 exons.